This 621-nucleotide ribosomal RNA is filed under the name Bacillus subtilis. RNAcentral describes it as "bacterial SSU rRNA". It matches the Rfam family "Bacterial small subunit ribosomal RNA", at positions 93 to 696 of the family's 1533-position model. Lineage: Bacteria; Bacillati; Bacillota; Bacilli; Caryophanales; Bacillaceae. The record is from RNAcentral.
UAGCGGCGGAGGGGAAAAAAAGGUGGGUAACCUGCCUGUAAGACUGGGAUAAUUGGGAAAACCGGGGCUAAUACCGGAUGGUUGUUUGAACCGCAUGGUUCAAACAUAAAAGGUGGCUUCGGCUACCACUUUCAAAAGGACCCGCGGCGCAUUAGCUAGUUGGUGAGGUAACGGCUCACCAAGGCAACGAUGCGUAGCCGACCUGAGAGGGUGAUCGGCCACACUGGGACUGAGACACGGCCCAGACUCCUACGGGAGGCAGCAGUAGGGAAUCUUCCGCAAUGGACGAAAGUCUGACGGAGCAACGCCGCGUGAGUGAUGAAGGUUUUCGGAUCGUAAAGCUCUGUUGUUAGGGAAGAACAAGUAUUUUUUCGAAUAGGGCGGUACCUUGACGGUACCUAACCAGAAAGCCACGGCUAACUACGUGCCAGCAGCCGCGGUAAUACGUAGGUGGCAAGCGUUGUCCGGAAUUAUUGGGCGUAAAGGGCUCGCAGGCGGUUUCUUAAGUCUGAUGUGAAAAGCCCCCGGCUCAACCGGGGGAGGGUCAUUGGAAACUGGGGAACUUUGAGUGCCCAAAGAGGAGAGUGAAAUUCCCCGUUGUAUCGGUGAAAUGCGUAAAGA